RNAcentral lists this unclassified non-coding RNA (250 nucleotides) under Hevea brasiliensis (rubber tree). Lineage: Eukaryota; Viridiplantae; Streptophyta; Magnoliopsida; Malpighiales; Euphorbiaceae. The record is from RNAcentral.
GAAUGAAUCUCACCAACCAAACACAAUUGUCAAAGUGUUUUUUUUUUCCCUUAUUUUCCUUUCCGGCAAAAUUUAAUUUUCUUUUCUUCUUUCCUUUUAUCCGCAAUCACCUUGUUUCCGAGAUGGAUAAAACUGUAGUUAUUGUGAAAAUUUUCUAGACUCAAAGGUGUUUGGCUGGAUGAAAAUUUUGAUCUUUAGAAGCCAAAUAACCAUAUAGCUCAGACGACAAUUUCUCGAAGUCGACGGCUGC